GUGCCAGCCGCCGCGGUAAUACGUAGGUGGCAAGCGUUGUCCGGAAUUAUUGGGCGUAAAGCGCGCGCAGGCGGGAUAUCAAGUCUGUCUUAAAAGUGCGAGGCUCAACCUCGUGAGGGGACGGAAACUGGUAUUCUUGAGUGUCGGAGAGGAAAGUGGAAUUCCAAGUGUAGCGGUGAAAUGCGUAUAGAUUUGGAAGAACACCAGUGGCGAAGGAGACUUUCUGGACGUGGUCUGACGCUGAGGCGCGA
RNAcentral lists this ribosomal RNA (251 nucleotides) under uncultured bacterium. RNAcentral describes it as "partial 16S rRNA". It matches the Rfam family "Bacterial small subunit ribosomal RNA", at positions 505 to 756 of the family's 1533-position model. The record is from RNAcentral.